Molecule: ribosomal RNA, 379 nt
Filed under: uncultured eukaryote
Lineage: Eukaryota
Description: partial 18S ribosomal RNA
Rfam family: Eukaryotic small subunit ribosomal RNA
Source: RNAcentral
CAAUAGCGUAUAUUAAAGUUGCUGCAGUUAAAAAGCUCGUAGUCGGAUUUCUGGCGCCGGGGCGCGGACCGCCGAGAGGUGUGCACUGCGUGCCGGGGCCUUUUUCCUCCCGACGUCUGCGUGUGCUCUUAACUGAGCGUGCGUGUGGCUCGGGACCUUUACUUUGAAAAAAUUAGAGUGUUCAAAGCAGGCCUCCGCUUGAAUACAUUAGCAUGGAAUAAUGGAAUAGGACUUUGGUUCUAUUUUGUUGGUUCUGGGACCGAAGUAAUGAUUAAUAGGGAUGGUUGGGGGCAUUAGUAUUUAAUUGUCAGAGGUGAAAUUCUUAGAUUUAUGAAAGACUAACUACUGCGAAAGCAUUUGCCAAGGAUGUUUNCAUUGA